This 686-nucleotide ribosomal RNA is filed under the name Serratia sp. (in: enterobacteria). RNAcentral's name for it is "bacterial SSU rRNA". It matches the Rfam family "Bacterial small subunit ribosomal RNA", at positions 22 to 697 of the family's 1533-position model. Lineage: Bacteria; Pseudomonadati; Pseudomonadota; Gammaproteobacteria; Enterobacterales; Yersiniaceae. The record is from RNAcentral.
GCUCAGAUUGAACGCUGGCGGCAGGCCUAACACAUGCAAGUCGAGCGGUAGCACAGGAGAGCUUGCUCUCUGGGUGACGAGCGGCGGACGGGUGAGUAAUGUCUGGGAAACUGCCUGAUGGAGGGGGAUAACUACUGGAAACGGUAGCUAAUACCGCAUAACGUCUUCGGACCAAAGUGGGGGACCUUCGGGCCUCACGCCAUCAGAUGUGCCCAGAUGGGAUUAGCUAGUAGGUGGGGUAAUGGCUCACCUAGGCGACGAUCCCUAGCUGGUCUGAGAGGAUGACCAGCCACACUGGAACUGAGACACGGUCCAGACUCCUACGGGAGGCAGCAGUGGGGAAUAUUGCACAAUGGGCGCAAGCCUGAUGCAGCCAUGCCGCGUGUGUGAAGAAGGCCUUCGGGUUGUAAAGCACUUUCAGCGAGGAGGAAGGGUUCAGUGUUAAUAGCACUGUUCAUUGACGUUACUCGCAGAAGAAGCACCGGCUAACUCCGUGCCAGCAGCCGCGGUAAUACGGAGGGUGCAAGCGUUAAUCGGAAUUACUGGGCGUAAAGCGCACGCAGGCGGUUUGUUAAGUCAGAUGUGAAAUCCCCGCGCUUAACGUGGGAACUGCAUUUGAAACUGGCAAGCUAGAGUCUUGUAGAGGGGGGUAGAAUUCCAGGUGUAGCGGUGAAAUGCGUAGAGAU